Long non-coding RNA from Peromyscus eremicus (cactus mouse), 316 nucleotides. RefSeq lists it as uncharacterized. The transcript has 2 exons. The record is from RefSeq and is a predicted model, not a curated record. Lineage: Eukaryota; Metazoa; Chordata; Mammalia; Rodentia; Cricetidae.
CACAAGGUAAACUUCGAUCAGGUUACCAAAACGACUGAAACAAAGUAAAAGACCAAAGUAUCAGAAACAGAGGGAUGCUCUCAGCGUUUCGGGAGGGGCUUUCUUUUUGCACGAUGGAAGAACAACAUCUGUCUGGAUUUGUGGCAACUGUGACCCAGAACUUCCUCCAAAUUGCUGUGGAAGAGUCAGGCACAAAGGGAGAGAAAUAAGAUUGCCCUUUGGGGAUUUGGGGCCAAGAGCUAAAGAUGCACCCAUGUGGUCUUUUACAAUAGCUCUGAAGAUGUUCUUUCUUCAAUAAUAAACAAAUGUCAUAUUA